RNAcentral lists this ribosomal RNA (253 nucleotides) under uncultured bacterium. Its description in RNAcentral is "partial 16S ribosomal RNA". It matches the Rfam family "Bacterial small subunit ribosomal RNA", at positions 524 to 776 of the family's 1533-position model. The record is from RNAcentral.
UACAGAGGGUGCGAGCGUUGUCCGGAAUCACUGGGCAUAAAGGGCGCGUAGGCGGCUUGAUAAGCGUGCGGUGAAAGCCCGGGGCUCAACCCCGGGUCGGCCGUGCGAACUGUCGAGCUGGAGCACUGUAGAGGCAGGUGGAAUUCCGGGUGUAGCGGUGGAAUGCGUAGAGAUCCGGAAGAACACCGGUGGCGAAGGCGGCCUGCUGGGCAGUGGCUGACGCUGAGGCGCGACAGCGUGGGGAGCAAACAGG